AGUGGUUUCAUGGUCUAGCAGGGAAGCAAAUGCAGUCUUUUUUUCCUCCCUGUUUUAUAGUUCUAUUUGUAUCAAUACAACGUUCAUGCAGGGUUACAGGUUACAGGGAGCGCAAAUAGACCUCACACGCACUUGUCUGUGUGGUCUGAGAACCUGUCUUGUCCCUGUGCCCUGCUCAUCAUCCCCAUGACUGUCCACGGUGUGAUGGCUCAGGCCACUGCUUCAGGGCCAGCUUCUUUGGGAGCAGAGCAGCAUCUAGGAAGUAGGUCCCUUCUGGGAUUGGAGCACUGAGGCACGAGAGAUGGAGUCUCACUCUGUCACUCUGAGUGGCGUGAUCACAGCUCACUGCGGCCUCGACCUCCUGAGCUCAAGGGAUCCUCCCACCUCGUCCCCACCAGUAGCCAGGACUACAGGUUGCUGAGAUGCCUGGGGAUUAUACAUAUUUAUGACCAAGCUCAUGACACAUUGUGGAUGCUCAAGAAAUGCUACUGUCAUGGAGGCCAGGACUCUUGCAAGGGAACAAUGCCUAAGCCUGGUUACUGGACCUGUGGUUAUGAGGCAGAAGCCUGGAUACUGGGGCACUGAUCAUUGAGGGAUGUCCUACAAAGAGGCAUUGACAGCGAGUCACCUGCACUGUUGCACUGGUGUGCCUGAGGGCAGGGUUGGCUAGAGAACUUUUGGGAGCAAGGGAAAGGCUUAGCUAUAGGGAAAUAAAAGUAUGGGAACUAUGCUGUCAUUGGAGAAAGGUUUUCAUUGGCUGCUGGAAACAAAUAAGUAUUCUCAAUGUGUGUAUAUAUGUGCAUAUUCAGGUGAAAGAGUGUUCAUUUUGUAUAUUAUUCACUUAUAUAAGAAACAUUUAUUGAAUACCUGUUCAGUGCUAGGCACUGUGAUUACAGCUGAAAAUAGGCAAACCGUGAAACACAGCACUCCAGGAUCUUACAGUCUGAGGGGAAGAAAAGGAACUGCAUGUAAACAAGGCAAAGUGGUGGCCUUAAGGGCCAGGAUGAAUGAUUGAGGACAUAGUGUGCACUCAGUGUUAGAAGGCCAGUGCAUGGGGAGUUCAGAAUGGGUGAGAUCGGUUUGAUUUGGAAUGGGCAGGAAGUUGGAAAAUAUCUUACAACAGAUAAAUGGAUGUGGGGAUCUUAGCUCAACCUCACACUCUAUGCCCUGGGGAGGUUCAUAGGAGAGUCAGCACACAGGCCUCAAGAAGUGGAGGUUGCUGUUGAGUGGCAUUCAUUCAUUCACUCAACAAAUCUUUACUGAGCACCUACAAUUGCCCGGCACUAUUCUAAACUCUGGGGACUCAGUGAUGAACAAGACAGGAAACAACUCCUGCCUUACUAUGGCAUGCAUUGUAAUGGAGGAAGAUGAAAAAUAGUUACAGCAAUAAGUGAGUUAUAUGCAGCAGCAGUUCUUAAAAUUUUGGGUCCCAGAACCCCUUUAUAUUCUUAAAAAUUAUUGAGGACCUCAAAGAACUUUCAUGUAUAAAAGUUAUUGCUAUUGAUAUUUACAACACUAGAAAUUAGAAUUGAGAAAUUAAAAAUGCAUCUAUAUGAAUACUUAAAAGUAAUAAUAAGAUACCCAUUAUAUUUUAGCACAAAUGACAUAUAUUUAGUAAAAAAUUAUAGUUUUUUCCCAAACAAACAAAAAUUUAGAAAAGAGUGAUAUUUAAAAAAGUCUUUUUUGCAGAUUUCUUUAAUUUACAAGUAGAAGACAGCUGGAUUCUCAUAUCUGCAUCUGCAUUCAAUCUGUGCUGAUGUACUAUUUUGGCUGAAGUAUAUGAAGAAAAUCUGGCCUCACACAGACAUACAGGUGCACAAGAGAGGAGUAUGUCAGGAGCCUUUUCAUUUAAUUGUGAGUCCUUUUCUUUGCUACUACACCAGAACUCAACAAGUAGUUGUUUCUUAAAGGUCAUUUGCAAUGUUGAAUCUGAAACUAUAACAACAUUCUGUUUUAUUUAAAUCCACUGGUCUAUGUUGCACUUUGAAUGAGUGUUUUACCAAUGCAUUGUGAAUGGAUCUUUUGAAAAAUAUAAGUUCACCCAAUUAUGUAAA
Long non-coding RNA from Symphalangus syndactylus (siamang), 2054 nucleotides. RefSeq lists it as uncharacterized. The record is from RefSeq and is a predicted model, not a curated record. Lineage: Eukaryota; Metazoa; Chordata; Mammalia; Primates; Hylobatidae.